CCCUUAGAUGUCCGGGGCCGCACGCGCGCUACAAUGGAUGAAUCAACGCGUCAUCCUGGCCCGAAAGGGUUGGGGAACCGCUGAACCUCAUCCGUGGUUGGGAUUGGGGUUUGUAAUUAUUCCCCAUGAACUAGGAAUUCCCAGUAAGCGCGAGUCAUAAGCUCGCGUUGAUUACGUCCCUGCCCUUUGUACACACCGCCCGUCGCUACUACCGAUUGGAUGGUUUAGUAAGAUCCUCGGAUUGGUCACGGCACGGUGGCAACACUGCGUCGGUGUGCCGAGAAGACGAUCAAACUUGAUCAUCUAGAGGAAGUAAAAGUCGUAACA
RNAcentral lists this ribosomal RNA (327 nucleotides) under uncultured eukaryote. RNAcentral describes it as "partial 18S ribosomal RNA". It matches the Rfam family "Eukaryotic small subunit ribosomal RNA", at positions 1470 to 1796 of the family's 1831-position model. The record is from RNAcentral.